UGGGGAAUCUUGGACAAUGGGCGCAAGCCUGAUCCAGCCAUGCCGCGUGGAUGAUGAAGGCCUUAGGGUUGUAAAAUCCUUUCGUUGGGGACGAUAAUGACGGUACCCAAAGAAGAAGCUCCGGCUAACUUCGUGCCAGCAGCCGCGGUAAUACGAAGGGGGCUAGCGUUGUUCGGAUUUACUGGGCGUAAAGCGCGUGUAGGCGGACUUGUAAGUUGGGGGUGAAAUCCCGAGGCUCAACCUCGGAACUGCCUCCAAAACUACAAAUCUGGACCUAAGUAGAGGCAAGUGGAAUUGCGAGUGUAGAGGUGAAAUUCGUAGAUAUUCGCAGGAACACCAGUGGCGAAGGCGACUUGCUGGACUUAUGGUGACGCUGAGACGCGAAAGCGUGGGGAGCAAACAGGAUUAGAUACCCUAGUAGUCCCUGAGCGGGCUGGCAAGGCGCAU
RNAcentral lists this ribosomal RNA (447 nucleotides) under uncultured bacterium. RNAcentral describes it as "bacterial SSU rRNA". It matches the Rfam family "Bacterial small subunit ribosomal RNA", at positions 355 to 825 of the family's 1533-position model. The record is from RNAcentral.